GUGAAGCGGCAACAGCUCAAAUUUGAAAGCUAGCCUUCGGGUUCGCAUUGUAAUUUGUAGAGGAUGAUUUGGGGAAGCCGCCUGUCUAAGUUCCUUGGAACAGGACGUCAUAGAGGGUGAGAAUCCCGUAUGUGACAGGAAAUGGCACCCUAUGUAAAUCUCCUUCGACGAGUCGAGUUGUUUGGGAAUGCAGCUCUAAAUGGGAGGUAAAUUUCUUCUAAAGCUAAAUAUUGGCGAGAGACCGAUAGCGCACAAGUAGAGUGAUCGAAAGAUGAAAAGCACUUUGGAAAGAGAGUUAAAAAGCACGUGAAAUUGUUGAAAGGGAAGCGCUUGCAAUCAGACUUGUUUAAACUGUUCGGCCGGUCUUCUGACCGGUUUACUCAGUUUGGACAGGCCAGCAUCAGUUUCGGCGGCCGGAUAAAGGCUCUGGGAAUGUGGCCCUCCACUUCGGUGGAGGUGUUAUAGCCCAGGGUGUAAUACGGCCAGCCGGGACUGAGGUCCGCGCUUCGGCUAGGAUGCUGGCGUAAUGGUUGUAAGCGACCCGU
This 545-nucleotide ribosomal RNA is filed under the name Aureobasidium pullulans. Its description in RNAcentral is "partial large subunit ribosomal RNA". It matches the Rfam family "Eukaryotic large subunit ribosomal RNA", at positions 93 to 652 of the family's 3401-position model. The record is from RNAcentral. Lineage: Eukaryota; Fungi; Ascomycota; Dothideomycetes; Dothideales; Saccotheciaceae.